RNAcentral lists this ribosomal RNA (1783 nucleotides) under Durio zibethinus. RNAcentral describes it as "SSU rRNA". It matches the Rfam family "Eukaryotic small subunit ribosomal RNA". Lineage: Eukaryota; Viridiplantae; Streptophyta; Magnoliopsida; Malvales; Malvaceae. The record is from RNAcentral.
CUUGGUUAAUCCUACCAGUAGUCAUAUGCUUGUUUGAAAGAUUAAGCCAUGCAUGUGUAAGUAUGAACUAAUUCAGACUGUGAAAUUGUGAAUGGCUCAUUAAAUUAGUUAUAGUUUGUUUGAUGGUAUCUACUACUCGGAUAAUCGUAGUAAUUCUAGAGCUAAUAUGUGCAGCAAACCCCGACCUCUAGAAGGGAUGCAUUUAUUAGAUAAAAGGUCGUGCGGGCUAUGCCCGUUGCUCUAAUGAUUCAUGAUAACUCGACGGAUCGCAUGACCUUUAUGCCGGUGACGCAUCAUUCAAAUUUCUGUCCUAUCAACUUUCGAUGGUAAGAUAGUGGCCUACUAUGGUGGUGACGGGUGACGAACAAUUAGGGUUCGAUUCUGAAGAGGGAGCUUGAGAAAUGGCUACCACAUCCAAGGAAGGCAGCAGGCGCGUAAAUUACCCAAUCCUGACAUAGGGAGGUAGUGACAAUAAAUAACAAUAACGGGCUCUAUAAGUCUAGUAAUUAGAAUGAGUACAAUCUAAAUCCCUUAACGAAGAUUCAUUGGAGGGCAAGCUGGUGCUAGCAGUCGUGAUAAUUCCAGCUCCAAUAGCGCAUAUUUAAGUUGUUGCUAUUAAAAAGCUUGUAGUUGGAACUAGGGUUGGGCCAUCCAAUCUGCCUCACGAUGAGCACCGAUCUACUCAUUCCUACUGUUGGCGAUGCGCUCCUAGACUUAAUUGUCGAGGUCAUUCCUCCGGCGCUAUUACUUUGAAAAAAUUAAAGUGCUCAAAGUAGGUACAUUAGCAUGGGAUAACAUCAAAGGAUUUCGGUCCUAUUGUGUUGGCCUUUGGGAUCGAAGUAAUGAUUAACAGGGACAGUCGGGGGCAUUUGUAUUUCAUAGUCAGAGGUGAAAUUUUUGGAUUUAUAAAAGAUGAACAACUGCGAGAGCAUUUGCCAAGGAUGUUAUAAUUAAUCAAGAAUGAAAGUUAGGGGCUCGAAGACGAUCAGAUACCAUCCUAGUCUCAACCAUAAACGAUGCCGACCAGGGAUCGACAGAUGUUACUUUUAGGACUCCACCGGCACCUUAUGAGAAAUCAAAGUCUUUGGGUUCCGAGGGGAGUAUGGUCGCAAGGCUGAAACUUAAAGGAAUUGACGGAAGGGCACCACUAGGAGUGGAGCCUGUGGUUUAAUUUGACUCAACACGGGGAAACUUACCAGGUCUAGACAUAGUAAGGAUUGACAGACUGAGAGCUGUUUCUUAAUUCUAUUGGUGGUGGUGCACGAUCAUUCUUAGUUGGUGGAGCGAUUUGUCUGGUUAAUUUCGUUAACGAAUGAGACCUCAGCCUGCUAACUAGCUACGCGGAGGUGAUCCUUCAUGGCUAGCUUCUUAGAUGGACUAUGGCCGUUUAGGCCAAGGAUGUUUGAGGCAAUAACAGGUCUGUUAUGCCCUUAGAUGUUCUGGGCCGCACGCGUGCUACACUGAUGUAUUCAAUGAGUCUAUAUCCUUGGCCGACAGGCUCGAGUAAUCUUUGAAAUUUCAUCGUGAGGGGAUAGAUCAUUGCAAUUGUUGGUCUUCAACGAGGAAUUCCUAGUAAGCAUGAGUCAUCAACUCGCGUUGACUACAUCCCUGCCCUUUGUACAUACCACCCAUUGCUCCUACCGAUUGAGUGGUCCGGUGAAGUGUUCGGAUCACGACGACGUGGACGGUUCACCACUUGUAACCUUGUAAGAAGUCCACUGAACCUUAUCAUUUAGAGGAAGGAGAAUUCAUAACAAGGUUUUCGUAGGUGAACCUGCUGAAG